Molecule: microRNA, 22 nt
Filed under: Mus musculus (house mouse)
Lineage: Eukaryota; Metazoa; Chordata; Mammalia; Rodentia; Muridae
Description: mmu-miR-6969-5p
Source: miRBase by way of RNAcentral
CAGCAGAGUAGGGAGCAAAAGA